CAGUCGCCGCGGUAAUACGAAGGGUGCAAGCGUUAAUCGGAAUUACUGGGCGUAAAGCGUGCGUAGGCGGUUUGUUAAGUCUGUUGUGAAGUCCCCGGGCUCAACCUGGGAAUGGCAAUGGAUACUGGCAAGCUAGAGUGUGUCAGAGGAUGGUGGAAUUCCCGGUGUAGCGGUGAAAUGCGUAGAGAUCGGGAGGAACAUCAGUGGCGAAGGCGGCCACCUGGGACAACACUGACGCUGAGGCACGAAAGCGUGGGGAGCAAACAGGAUUAGAUACCCGCGUAGUCCCUGUCUCUUAUAC
This 301-nucleotide ribosomal RNA is filed under the name uncultured bacterium. Its description in RNAcentral is "partial 16S ribosomal RNA". It matches the Rfam family "Bacterial small subunit ribosomal RNA", at positions 509 to 807 of the family's 1533-position model. The record is from RNAcentral.